CUUUUUUUUAACUUUUAUUUUAGGUUCAGAGGUAUACAUGCAGGUUUGUUACACAGGUAACCUGCAAGUCACUGGGGUUUGGUGGACAGAUUCUCUCAUCACACAGGUCAUAAGCAUAGUGUGCGACAGGUCGUUUUUCAGUCCUCACCCUCCUCCCACCCAGUUCCUGGCCUGGUGGGUACCUCCAGCCACGAGGGGAGCACAGUUUGGUGCUCAGCAAAUGCCCAGACUUGGGGGUUCUUGUUUCCAUAUCUAGGUUCAUUUUUCCAACCCAACCAGUCUCCCAGUAGGAGGGAGGGAAAGGAGUGGAGGAGGUUAGCGUAGGGAUCUUCCAGCAGACACGUGGCCAGGGCACUGCUGCCCAUUGCUCUUCCUUCCCUGCACCUUCCUGAGGGGCACCAGCCCCCACUGGCCAUUAGGCCUAAGCUCUGGCUUAGAAGUCCAUCUUGGCCUGGAUACCUUGGCCUUGAAGACUACAAGAGAUUCCCCUGGGUAGGGAAGAGGCCAGAGGUGGCGUGUAGGUCCUGCUUAGGUUGUGGGAACCCCCUGAAAUUCCUCACUGCUGACUACCUGCCUGAGGGUUGGUGAACACCAGGGCCUUGGUAGAACUGGUUCUGCCCACCUUUCUCUAAUAAGAGUGGAGGCUCCAAAUGCUGUGCAGUGACUUGGGCUCCAGAAUUUCCCUAGCCUGUGCUGGGGAGACCCCACCACAUCUCAUCCAGGGUCCUAGCUGUGUGUCUUCCACAAUGACUGCAUCCCUGCAGCUCUGUAGAGUCAGAAGGAGGCAUGGAGAGAUUGCCAGGCUGACCCUCUCUGGUCUGUUUCCAGGCGUCUCACUUCUUCUGGGCUCUCUGGGCCCUCAUCCAGAACCAGUACUCCACCAUCGACUUUGAUUUCCUCAGGUACGCAGUGAUCCGAUUCAACCAGUACUUCAAGGUGAAGCCUCAGGUGUCAGCCUUGGAGAUGCCAAAGUGACCAGCCACCCCAUCGCUCCCCACCCAUCUGUCUGGCCAAACCUGUUCCCCAGAGCUCAAUUCUGCGCUCUGGGGUCCACAUCCUUGGACAAGGUGGGAGAGGGGACAGGUGGGUGUCCAGGGAGAAGGCUCUGUCCCUGCUGCCAGCCCCCUGUGGUGGCCACUGAAGACCUCAUUCUCCUGUCCGGAUGGGCUGACAGGACCCACUUCUGGGAGUCCCCUCCCACCAGGCUUGGGAGGAAGUGCCUGCAGCCAGGGCCUGGGCCAUAACCACCCCUGGGAAACAUCAUUCCCAGACUCAGGCCCUGCUGGAAUUGGGGCUGCCUUACAUGUGUCUUUACCCCUUCCUGGCCUGGGGAAGGAGGCGGGGAGGGCUCCUUUCUACCUCCAGUGCCCUGAGCCUCCAGCCCGUCUCCCCCGGCAUGCCCCAUGUGGGAGGUGCUGAGCUCCAAACCAGCAUCACGCCAACCCUGACACAUGGAUGUACAUAUCUUGGUGAUGGGUGGGGGCCAAGAAUUGAGCAUGACAGCUCCCCCAGCAGCCACCUCAUCUGAGACCCUUCACCUUCUCCAAACCGGAUCCAAUCAAACGACCUCUUCCCAAACCUCAGCCCCAGGAAACAGGCUCCCCAACGUGCUCUCCUGUGCUUGUUCUGUUCCCCUGCUGGGGGGACAGGAGAGGGAGUGGUAAGGCCCUGGGCCUCUAGAGCCUGGCUCUGCGUCAUACUAUGGCUUGGCCGGAGGGGACAUGGCCAAGGAUGAGGUGGCCAAAACCAGAACCAGCAGUCUCCUGCCUUGUUCCCUCCCUGGCCUCAAGGCCUCCUUCCAGGGAUGCCUCUCCAGCUCUACCUUAUGUCCUGAAGCUGACCUGAGGUCUUCCUAUCUGGGAAUGACUAGUGGGAGCCAAGAGGAUGGGGUGGGGGCCAGGGCCCCCCAGGACCCAGCGUGGGAGGCUGGGCAGGAUCCCAUCAGAAAGGUGCUGACUGGGCUGGUCGCCCGGACGCUGAACAGCCUCCACCUCCUUUCGGCCCUCAGAGCUCCUUGGGCCCUUCUGGCUCUGGCCCAGAAAGUGAUUCAUUUGUAAAUUAUCAUGAUUUCUGCAUUAAAAUGCUCAUUUCCGGA
Molecule: long non-coding RNA, 2095 nt
Organism: Sapajus apella (tufted capuchin)
Lineage: Eukaryota; Metazoa; Chordata; Mammalia; Primates; Cebidae
Exons: 2
Source: RefSeq, a predicted model, not a curated record